UGGGGAAUCUUGCGCAAUGGGCGAAAGCCUGACGCAGCAACGCCGCGUGGAGGAUGAAGGCCCUUGGGUUGUAAACUCCUGUCGGCUGGGAAGAAGUUGUUCGCGACUAAUACUCGCGGACAUUGACUGUACCAGCAAAGGAAGCCCCGGCUAACUCUGUGCCAGCAGCCGCGGUAAUACAGAGGGGGCCAGCGUUAUUCGGAAUUAUUGGGCGUAAAGGGCGCGUAGGCGGCCAUGCGUGUCUUCCGUGAAAUCCCUCGGCUUAACCGAGGACGUGCGGAAGAAACUGCAAGGCUCGAGUCCGGAAGAGGGGGGCGGAAUUCCCAGUGUAGCGGUGAAAUGCGUAGAUAUUGGGAGGAACACCAGUGGCGAAGGCGGUCCCCUGGGCCGGAACUGACGCUGAGGCGCGAAAGCGUGGGUAGCAAACGG
RNAcentral lists this ribosomal RNA (429 nucleotides) under uncultured bacterium. Its description in RNAcentral is "bacterial SSU rRNA". It matches the Rfam family "Bacterial small subunit ribosomal RNA", at positions 355 to 775 of the family's 1533-position model. The record is from RNAcentral.